CCCUUAGAUGUUCUGGGCCGCACGCGCGCUACACUGACGAAUGCAACGAGCUUAUAACCUUGGCCGAAAGGUCUGGGUAAUCUCCAAAUCUCGUCGUGAUGGGGAUAGAUUAUUGCAAUUAUUAAUCUUCAACGAGGAAUGCCUAGUAAGCGCAAGUCAUCAGCUUGCGUUGAUUACGUCCCUGCCCUUUGUACACACCGCCCGUCGCUCCUACCGAUUGAAUGGUCCGGUGAAGCGCUCGGACCGCGGCCUCUUGACGGUUCGCUGUCGAUUGGCUGUGGGAAGUUCGUUAAACCUUAUCAUUUAGAGGAAGGAGAAGUCGUAACA
This 327-nucleotide ribosomal RNA is filed under the name uncultured eukaryote. RNAcentral describes it as "partial 18S ribosomal RNA". It matches the Rfam family "Eukaryotic small subunit ribosomal RNA", at positions 1470 to 1796 of the family's 1831-position model. The record is from RNAcentral.